Erpetoichthys calabaricus (reedfish) is the source of this 870-nucleotide long non-coding RNA. RefSeq lists it as uncharacterized. The record is from RefSeq and is a predicted model, not a curated record. The transcript has 2 exons. Lineage: Eukaryota; Metazoa; Chordata; Cladistia; Polypteriformes; Polypteridae.
GUGUUCACUGGUCUAAGACAGUCAAGACGUCCAGCCUUUUGUUAUCUUGAAGGACUCAUAGGCCUAAAAUGAAAGAAGGCAAGUGAUACAAAGUUCUAAUUGCUAUAUCACUGGAAGGAGGACGAGGAAGAGGUACUCUCCAGAUAAAGAGUCACCAUACUUGCAGGACAUGAUUUGGUACAGAAGACAUUUCAAGUAUACUGCUGAGGCAUUUCGUGCCAUUGCUCUACUGCCAAGCUGUUUUCCUGCCCAUGAAAAAGACAUCCAAGAUACUAUUAGCCCUGAAAAUCAACAGAUAGAAAGUUUCGGCUGUAAGGCACUACAGCCCUGCUUUGACUCUACUGUAGAAUGCCAAGGAAUGGGUGAACAACCAGUUGUCCUAGGUCUUCACAACUCUUUGUCUAAACUAUGUCUUUAAUUUUCUUUGUUAUGUCUGACUGUGGCACUAUUUUCUCCUGGGGUGCAGCUGGCUGGACUUUUUGUUUUCCUUUCAUGAUAAGUCAAUUGGGCUCUAUUUUUAUUGAUCAGCCUCAAAAUUACUUUGAGUCUCUAUGUACUCAUUAUGUAAUUAGUAAUGUUUGUAUUUGCAUAUUAGAACUUGUCACAGCAUGUUGCAUCUACUGUACACUAACAAGAAGAAGCUGAAUUGAAUAUUUCCGUAACCUAAAACAAAAUUGUUACUUUUUCUGUAAUACCAAGUGAGGAUGCAUAAACUGGUAAAUAAGUGUGAGUAUACAAGCCUUAAUCUUCAGUGGGGAAAAAAAAAUUAUCAAAGAGCAAAUCUCUGGUUCUUUGUGCUGGAUUGUCUCUCACAACAAUUCAACACUAUGUAAAGAUAGAAAUUACAAAAAUCCCUUUUUAAACUAUUGA